RNAcentral lists this unclassified non-coding RNA (382 nucleotides) under uncultured bacterium. RNAcentral's name for it is "contains 16S-23S intergenic spacer region". The record is from RNAcentral.
UCCCGCUUAACGCGGGCAGUUCCCUUAGAGUGCCACGGCAUCACCCGGGGGCAACUAAGGGCAAGGGUUGCGCUCGUUGCGGGACUUAACCCAACACCUCACGGCACGAGCUGACGACAGCCAUGCAGCACCUGUCUUGGCGCUCCCUUGCGGGCACGCGGGGCUUUCACCCCGCUUCGCCAGAUGUCAAACCCAGGUAAGGUUCUUCGCGUUGCAUCGAAUUGAACCACAUGCUCCGCUGCUUGUGCGGACCCCCGUCAAUUCCUUUGAGUUUUAGCCUUGCGGCCGUACUCCCCAGGCGGGGUGCUUAAUGCGUUAGCUUCGGCACGGAGGGAGUCGACACCCCCCACACCUAGCACCCAUCGUUUACGGCGUGGACUAC